GCGGGCGCUGCAGGAUUUCAGUCCUUCACGUCGUAGUGUGUUACCAACUGUUUUCUUGGUGACUAUGGUCCCAGCUGCCUUGAGAUUAUUGACAAGAUCCUCCCGUGCAGUUCUGGGCUGAUUCCUCACCGUUCUCAUCAUUGCAACUCCACGAGGCCAAGCCGGCUUGAGCUGCUCUACCGCUCUUGUUCUCAGAAGCUACCUGCCCACAACGCAAGGGGAAACCCGGGAGAUCCGGAGGAAAAUCCACGCGACCACGGAGAGAGAGACACGCAAACUCCA
Long non-coding RNA from Lethenteron reissneri (Far Eastern brook lamprey), 282 nucleotides. RefSeq lists it as uncharacterized. Lineage: Eukaryota; Metazoa; Chordata; Hyperoartia; Petromyzontiformes; Petromyzontidae. The record is from RefSeq and is a predicted model, not a curated record.